Chinchilla lanigera (long-tailed chinchilla) is the source of this 648-nucleotide long non-coding RNA. RefSeq lists it as uncharacterized. The record is from RefSeq and is a predicted model, not a curated record. NCBI's taxonomy places the organism in Eukaryota, Metazoa, Chordata, Mammalia, Rodentia, Chinchillidae. The transcript has 3 exons.
AUUUUAACUGAUAGAAGCAGAAAAAAAUUGUUCAUCUGGGAGAUCAUUGAAGCUAUAGGUGUAUGAAUAAGUUAAAGAAAAAAAUGGAUUUAAAAAAAAUGAUGGCAAAGCAUGCAAAGAGAAGCUGAGUGUUCCUGAGAGAGAGAUGAUCAGGGCUGGGGAUACAGCUCAAUGGCACAAGCACCUGCCUGGAAUGAAGAACUGAUGCACACUACCACAGGGAAAAACUCUGAAAACAUUGCUAAGUGAAAGAAGCCAAUCACAAAUGACCGCACGUUGCAUGAUUCUGUUUAUGUGCAAUAUCCAGGAAAGCCAAAUCUACAGAGACCAAAAGUAGAUGAAUGGUUGCCCUGAUGAUCUAUUGACUACUUCUUUUAUUGUUUACUUCAUCAUCUUCAGAGGCCUACAACAGUCCUGGCACAUAGACAUAUUUGAUGAUUAUUUGUUAGAUGGAAGUGUGAAACAUCCACAAAAACCGACAACUUGGAAACCACUCCAAUUCUAAAAACUCAUCAGCUUACGAAAGCUAAUCAAAAAAUCUCUUCAAAAAGUGUCCACAACUACUCAACGGGUCAAGUUUCCUCAACAAAAUAAACCAAGUGUCUAUACUUUGCUUCAACCCUUUCUAUGUAAACUAUAGGUAAUAAU